AAGAUGCACUCUGAGCCUUCUUCAUUACGAGAUCCUGGAAGCACUGAUCAAUGUGUCAGGGUCCUGGGUCUGAGUGACCCUGGACCCUGAGCAGUUAUGGACUUGUCUUGUAUUGCAUGUAUAUUUGGUGUUGCUGUCCCUCUUCUCCCUGUUUGCGGAUGUGUGUAUGUGUUUCUGCAGGCGCCUUCAGGCCUGGUGGGUGUGGCUCUGCUGGCGGACUGGCCACACCCGAAGCUCCUGCCACACACCUGCUGUCAUUCAGGGCUCGUGGGGGAACUAUUUAGGAGAGUGUUGGAGCUCCCACCGGCGCGGGAUCAUUACGUUAGACUCCCAAGAGGAACGUGGAGAGGAAGGGCAGCACGCACAGGGUGUGCAGAAACUCUACAGCGGGGAGCACGAACACAGACGUCUGAGUGGGAGACACUCACGGGAGUCUUGGGGAGCAACAGGGAUGAAUGGUGCAUUUAUUGUUAACUUCACUUUAAAUAAAUCUGUCUUUAUUCAGAGCUCCGCGGCUGGGUCCUCCUUUCCCUGACACCUGAGCUACAGGGGUGGCUGUAGCUCAGGUGUCAGAGCAGGUCAGCCACUAAUCAGAAGGUGGUUCGAUCCCAGGCUGCCUCCUGGCUGCAUGCCAAAUAUCCUUGGGCAAGAUACUAACCCCAUGUUGCCUACUGGUGAUGGUCAGAGGUGGCCAGUGCACCACCGAGCCAGUCCAUCCUGGACUUUCUGCUUUCUACCCUCCACUUCCACUCUCCUACUCAGGCUGCUCACUGGCCCGGGCAGCCGGUGGAUUCACAGCCUGACACGCCGGCCCCGACGUCUACACGCCGCCUGCGCUCCUCAUCACAGCCGGAUUCCUGGACAUCUCAAGAGCCGGCUGGGCCGCCAUUCUGCCAUCAUCUUCACCACCUGCUACGUCGCUACCCGGACCUGCUCAGCCUGGAGCUCAGCGAGCCGAGGCCAGAGCCUCCGCCGGAGGUGGAGCUCAGCGAGCCGGAGCAGGAGCUCAGCGAGCGGGAGGAGCCUGCACCGCCACCAGAGGAGCUCAGCGAGCAGGAGGAGUCCGCGCUGCCCGCGCAAGACCUCGGAGAGCUGGAGGGGCCAGCACGUCCGCGACCCGCCCGGCCAGCACGUCCACGAACGGCACGUCCGCAACCAGCACAUCGUAGAUCAGGUGCCACAUCUCGUGGUCGCUCGUCGGAGCUACGCCGCAGGCCGCUGGAGGAGCAGCGCCGCCACUGGACCCGGGGCAGGCCGCCGGAGAUGCAGCGCCGCCACCGCCACUGGACCCGGGGCACACUGUAAAAUCUAAUUAGUUCACAGAACUCAAAACUAUGUAAACUCGUUGCCUCAAAAAAAAAAAGUAAAGCUUACUUAAGAUGACUGUUAGGACAACUUAUUCAUUGCAAGUCUGCAGUAUUAAGAAUAACUUGAUAUUUCCAACUGUACAAUACUAAUUGUUUACCUACUGACAAACAUUUCAAGUUCAACUAAAUGAAAAAAACAAUUUGUGGUAAUCUGAAUAUGAUUAAAAAUAAUUAACUACACUUUUUGUAAUGAUGUUAAAAUCAGCCCAACUUUUAUUUUCAAA
Molecule: long non-coding RNA, 1591 nt
Organism: Astatotilapia calliptera (eastern happy)
Lineage: Eukaryota; Metazoa; Chordata; Actinopteri; Cichliformes; Cichlidae
Source: Ensembl